AUGGCCUCCUUAGGGCUGGGAUGGGAACUGAGAAUCAUUUGAGGGCUUAACAGGUGAUUUUGGAGGCCCCAGUCCCCACCCUAUGGGAGCAGAGUGAGGUGGUCUGACAAGGUGCUUCCUUCCCGGUGAGCAGGAGAUCGGGAGGAUCUCCAUUGAGAUGCACGGGACCCUGGAGGACCAGCUCAGCCACCUGCGGCAGUAUGAGAAGAGUAUCGUCAACUACAAGCCAAAGAUUGAUCAGCUGGAGGGCGACCACCAGCUCAUCCAGGAGGCACUCAUCUUUGACAACAAGCACACCAACUACACCAUGGAGCACAUCCGUGUGGGCUGGGAGCAGCUGCUCACCACCAUCGCCAGGACCAUCAAUGAGGUGGAGAACCAGAUCCUGACCCGGGAUGCCAAGGGCAUUAGCCAGGAGCAGAUGAAUGAGUUCCGGGCCUCCUUCAACCACUUUGACCGGGUGAGAGCCCCAUCCUGUGCUUUCUUAGUGCAGCCCCCAACCCCUGCCCCAGGGCCCUGGAGGGCACUUCCCCGGGACGUGGGCUGCCAUGCAAGUGA
This 558-nucleotide small RNA is filed under the name Pongo abelii (Sumatran orangutan). Its description in RNAcentral is "retained intron". The record is from RNAcentral. Lineage: Eukaryota; Metazoa; Chordata; Mammalia; Primates; Hominidae.